AUUUUCUAUAAGAUGUUCUUCAGACGAGCAAAUCCCUGUCCUCGGGGGCCAGCAAGAGCUGUGGGAGUUAUUCAUGGUAGGGCUGCGUACAUUGUAUCCAAACGGCCCAUCCCUCCCCCCGGGUCAUCGAUGGCCAGACAGCGUAUAUACGGUGAGACGCCUCCUGAGGGUUCUACCACGGGGCAUGGGUUUCCAGUACGUGGUUGAUUGAGAGGGUUAUGGCCCAGAGGAGAGGUGCUGGGUCCCUGCUAAAGACAUCAUGGACCAGGCCCUCAUUGCCGAUUUUCACCGCCGACACCCCGGGUCAGCCAGGUAUGCGCUCAGUUACUCACCCGGAUCAUUUACCCCAUUCCCGCCUGGUCGUCGGC
This is a long non-coding RNA of Oncorhynchus kisutch (coho salmon), 368 nucleotides long. RefSeq lists it as uncharacterized. The record is from RefSeq and is a predicted model, not a curated record. The transcript is spliced from 3 exons. NCBI's taxonomy places the organism in Eukaryota, Metazoa, Chordata, Actinopteri, Salmoniformes, Salmonidae.